RNAcentral lists this ribosomal RNA (829 nucleotides) under Dactylonectria anthuriicola. Its description in RNAcentral is "eukaryotic LSU rRNA". It matches the Rfam family "Eukaryotic large subunit ribosomal RNA", at positions 74 to 935 of the family's 3401-position model. Lineage: Eukaryota; Fungi; Ascomycota; Sordariomycetes; Hypocreales; Nectriaceae. RNAcentral also lists the same sequence under 1 other name. The record is from RNAcentral.
AUUGCCCUAGUAACGGCGAGUGAAGCGGCAACAGCUCAAAUUUGAAAUCUGGCCUUCGGGUCCGAGUUGUAAUUUGUAGAGGAUGCUUUUGGUGAGGUGCCUUCCGAGUUCCCUGGAACGGGACGCCAUAGAGGGUGAGAGCCCCGUCUGGUUGGACACCGAUCCUCUGUAAAGCUCCUUCAACGAGUCGAGUAGUUUGGGAAUGCUGCUCUAAAUGGGAGGUAUAUGUCUUCUAAAGCUAAAUAUUGGCCAGAGACCGAUAGCGCACAAGUAGAGUGAUCGAAAGAUGAAAAGCACUUUGAAAAGAGAGUUAAAAAGUACGUGAAAUUGUUGAAAGGGAAGCGCUCAUGACCAGACUUGGGCUUGGUUGAUCAUCCAGGGUUCUCCCUGGUGCACUCUUCCAGUUCAGGCCAGCAUCAGUUCGCUGUGGGGGAUAAAGGCUUUGGGAAUGUGGCUCCCUCGGGAGUGUUAUAGCCCAUUGUGUAAUACCCUGUGGUGGACUGAGGACCGCGCUUUUGCAAGGAUGCUGGCGUAAUGGUCAUCAGUGACCCGUCUUGAAACACGGACCAAGGAGUCGUCUUCGUAUGCGAGUGUUCGGGUGUUAAACCCCUACGCGUAAUGAAAGUGAACGCAGGUGAGAGCUUCGGCGCAUCAUCGACCGAUCCUGAUGUUCUCGGAUGGAUUUGAGUAAGAGCAUACGGGGCCGGACCCGAAAGAAGGUGAACUAUGCCUGUAUAGGGUGAAGCCAGAGGAAACUCUGGUGGAGGCUCGCAGCGGUUCUGACGUGCAAAUCGAUCGUCAAAUAUGGGCAUGGGGGCGAAAGACUAAU